GAUGAACGCUGGCGGCGUGCCUAAUACAUGCAAGUCGAGCGAACAGACCAGGAGCUUGCUCCUCUGACGUUAGCAGCGGACGGGUGAGUCACACGUGGAUAACCUACCUCUAAGACUGGGAUAACUUCGCGAAACCGGAGCUAAUACCGGAUAAUAUAUUGAACCGCAUGGUUCAAUAGUGAAAGACGGUUUUGCUGUCACUUAUAGAUGAAUCCGCGCCGCAUUAGCUAGUUGGUAAGGUAACGGCUUACCAAGGCAACGAUGGGUAGCCGACCUGAGAGCGUGGUCCGCCAGACUGGAAGUGAGAAACAGCCCCGACACCGGCGGGAGGCAGCAGUAGGGACUCUUCCGCGAGGGGGGAGAGCGUGACAGAGCAACGCCGCGUGAGGCAUGAUGGAGCUCGGAUCGGAGAGCGAUGUUGUUAGUGGAGUACAAAUGUGUAAUUAACUAUGCACGUAUUGACGGUACCUAGUCAGAAAGCCCCGGCUAACUACGUG
Molecule: ribosomal RNA, 497 nt
Filed under: uncultured bacterium
Lineage: Bacteria
Description: partial 16S ribosomal RNA
Rfam family: Bacterial small subunit ribosomal RNA
Source: RNAcentral